This 430-nucleotide ribosomal RNA is filed under the name uncultured bacterium. RNAcentral describes it as "partial 16S ribosomal RNA". It matches the Rfam family "Bacterial small subunit ribosomal RNA", at positions 29 to 504 of the family's 1533-position model. The record is from RNAcentral.
AGCGAACGCUGGCGGCAGGCCUAACACAUGCAAGUCGAACGGAUCCUUCGGGAUUAGUGGCGGACGGGUGAGUAACACGUGGGAACGUGCCCUUUGGUUCGGAACAACUCAGGGAAACUUGAGCUAAUACCGGAUGUGCCCUUCGGGGGAAAGAUUUAUCGCCAUUGGAGCGGCCCGCGUCUGAUUAGCUAGUUGGUGAGGUAACGGCCCACCAAGGCGACGAUCAGUAGCUGGUCUGAGAGGAUGAUCAGCCACACUGGGACUGAGACACGGCCCAGACUCCUACGGGAGGCAGCAGUGGGGAAUCUUGCGCAAUGGGCGAAAGCCUGACGCAGCCAUGCCGCGUGAAUGAUGAAGGUCUUAGGAUUGUAAAAUUCUUUCAGCGGGGACGAUAAUGACGGUACCCGCAGAAGAAGCUCCGGCUAACUUC